CCUACGGGUGGCAGCAGUGAGGAAUAUUGGUCAAUGGACGAGAGUCUGAACCAGCCAAGUAGCGUGAAGGAUGACUGCCCUAUGGGUUGUAAACUUCUUUUAUAAAGGAAUAAAACGAGGCACGUGUGCCUUUUUGCAUGUACUUUAUGAAUAAGGAUCGGCUAACUCCGUGCCAGCAGCCGCGGUAAUACGGAGGAUCCCAGCGUUAUCCGGAUUUAUUGGGUUUAAAGGGAGCGUAGAUGGGUUGGUAAGUCAGUUGUGAAAGUUUGGGGCUCAACCGUAAAAUUGCAAUUGAUACUGGCAGUCUUGAGUACAGUGGAGGUAGGCGGAAUGCGUGGUGUAGCGGUGAAAUGCUUAGAUAUCACGAAGAACCCCGAUUGCGAAGGCAGCUUACCAAACUGUGACUGACAUUGAGGCUCGAAAGUGUGGGUAUCAAACAGGAUUAGAUACCCUGGUAGUC
RNAcentral lists this ribosomal RNA (460 nucleotides) under uncultured bacterium. Its description in RNAcentral is "partial 16S ribosomal RNA". It matches the Rfam family "Bacterial small subunit ribosomal RNA", at positions 338 to 795 of the family's 1533-position model. The record is from RNAcentral.